AACUGAUACUACCUGCGGGAACCUGCGGAGGGAUCAUUACUGAGUUAGGGUCUACUCGGCCCGACCUCCCAUCCUAUGUUUACUUAAACUUAUGUUGCUUCGGCGGACCCGUCUUCGGACCGCCGGAGGGUGCUUAUACGCCCUCUGGCCUGUGCCCGCCGGCAGCCUAUUUAUUAAUUCUUGAAUAAUUCGUGUCAUUGUCUAAGUUAAAGUCUUUAAUUAAAAGCAAAACUUUCAGCA
Molecule: unclassified non-coding RNA, 240 nt
Filed under: soil metagenome
Description: partial contains 5.8S ribosomal RNA, internal transcribed spacer 2, and large subunit ribosomal RNA
Source: RNAcentral